UGUUCCUACGGGGGGCAGCAGUGGGGGAUAUUGCACAAUGGGGGGAACCCUGAUGCAGCGACGCCGCGUGAACGAAGAAAUAUUUCGGUAUGUAAAGUUCUAUCAGCAGGGAAGAAAAUGACAGUACCUGACCAAGAAGCCCCGGCUAACUACGUGCCAGCAGCCGCGGUAAUACGUAGGAUGCGAGCGUUAUCCGGAUUUAUUGGGUUUAAAGGGUGCGCAGGCGGAAGAUCAAGUCAGCGGUAAAAUUGAGAGGCUCAACCUCUUCGAGCCGUUGAAACUGGUUUUCUUGAGUGAGCGAGAAG
This 305-nucleotide ribosomal RNA is filed under the name uncultured bacterium. RNAcentral's name for it is "bacterial SSU rRNA". It matches the Rfam family "Bacterial small subunit ribosomal RNA", at positions 334 to 657 of the family's 1533-position model. The record is from RNAcentral.